UCCUUUGCAGAGGAAUCGGUAGCUGCAGCUCCCGGAGCACAGCGGACAGAGCUGCGGGCUGCGUGCGCCCCUGCUGCCACCGGGCCUGCCGCGGUGGCUCCCGCGCCCCGCGGCGACUUCCGCUCCCGUGCUUCUCUUUGUUCAAGUCCCCGAGCGGCGGCCGGGUCGGAGCCCGCGCCUUGGGCGACUGAGGCGGCCGCAGUCCGCGCCCCGGCGCCCUGGCGAUGCCGGACCAGAUCUCCGUGUCGGAAUUCGUGGCCGAGACCCUUGAGGACUACAAGGCACCCACUGCCUCUAGCUUCACCACCGGCACGGCCCAGUGCCGGAACACCGCGGCGGCCAUCGAGGAGGUUUAGUCUCCACUGCCAGCUGCCAUGGACAAGCAGAACAGCAAGCUGGGUCCUGAGGUGCUGCAGGACCUGCAGAAUCACAGGGAGUUCACUGACCAUGAGCUUCAGGAGUGGUACAAGGGCUUCCUCAAUUACUGUCCCACUGGCCACCUGACCGUGGACAAUUUCAAGAUCUAGGCCAACUUCUUCCCCUACAGAGAUGCCUCCAAGUUCGCUGAACAUGUCUUCCACACCUUUGACACCAACAGCGACAGCACCAUCAACUUCCGAGUGUUCAUCAUUGCUCUGAGCAUGACCUCUCGGGGCAAGCUCGAACAGAAGGUCAAGUGGGCCUUCAGCAUGUCUGACCUAGACAGCAAUGGCUACAUCAGCUGCAGUGAAAUGCUGGAGAUAGUGCAGGUACCUGCACUUGACAGGGCCUGGAGCAUGGGGAGUGCAGGGGUCCAGGACCCCCAUCCCCGGCCCCAUACACCAGGCUAGGUCAUUCCUCUGCCCACUUGCUACCUGGUGUACUAAAGGACUGCCUGUCUUUGCAGAGAGUAACAAUAAAAGCCAGCAUCUCUCGAUUGCUUGCUGGACAUCCGGCCCCAGCUGAGCUCAUCCAUCAGGUUUUUUCACACAAUUCUAUCAAAUGGGUCUUUUAUUUUUAACCUCUAAUGAGAUCUGAGGCUCAGAUAGGUGAUUAAGAAUUGUCAAAGCAAGAACUUGGAAAAUGGCUCAGUGGGGAAGAACACUUGAUACCCAGCAUGAGGACCUGACUUCUGAUCCCAACACCCACGGAAAAGUCAGGAGUGGCUGAGCGUGCCCGAAACCCUAGAACUAGGGGACAAGUGAGUCCCAGAAGCUUGCUGAGCAGGAAGCCUAGCUACAAUGUUAAGCCCCGGCUGGGUUCAGUGAUAGAGAAAAGGUUAUACUGUGAACACCGGUAUUCCUGUUUGGCCUCUGCACGGGUGGGUGUUCAUCUGCACACACAUGUAUAACAUACACACACAUUAGCUGUCUAUAGGGCUUCCUAUAGAAAUCAGAACGACACAGUAAAGGAUGAGUCAGCAGUCAGUUCUUCACAGGAGCGAUGCUUAUGUGCACCCUGCAUCCUUCCUGCUCCAUGCUCUAAACCAUCUCUGUAUUUGGUCCAGUGGGCUGACUCUGUGGGUAAAGGUGCUUGCUACCAAGCCUGGCAGCCUGGGUUCGAUCCCUAAGACCCACAUGGUAGGAAAAGAGAACCAGCUUCCACAAGUUGUCCUCUGAAUUCUACCUGAGAUCAUCUCCCCCAAAUAAAUAAUUACAUACAUCCAUAAAAUAAGUAAAGUAGUUAUAUACAGUGCCUAAUACAAUGGCUAUAGAUGUUAAUAAUAAUUUGUAUUAUUUGGGAAAUAAGAAGAAACUGUCUGUGUACCUCCAGUUUCAUUUUCUAGACUAUUUCCCACCUAUAGUUUGUUGAAUCUGCAGAUUCGGGAUCCAUGGGUGGGCAGGGCUCAAUGUAUUUCCCCUUUGACCUUCCCUCCAGGAUUUUCCAGCUCCCACCAAAGAUCCUCCUUUCAGACAGAAGCUGUGCCCCACAACCUCCCCUCUACUCUGAACCAAGGAGCCCUCCAUUCUUCCAUUCCCCAGCUGUAUCCUGUGCUCUUGAACGUCACUUAAACUUUCCUGGCUUCCUUUGCCCAGC
Molecule: long non-coding RNA, 2016 nt
Filed under: Mus musculus (house mouse)
Lineage: Eukaryota; Metazoa; Chordata; Mammalia; Rodentia; Muridae
Description: predicted gene 5784
Source: RNAcentral